UCCAGACUCCUACGGGAGGCAGCAGUGGGGAAUAUUGCACAAUGGGGGAAACCCUGAUGCAGCAACGCCGCGUGAGUGAGGAAGUAUUUCGGUAUGUAAAGCUCUUUCAGCAGGGAAUAGAAAAGAAGGUACCUGAAAAAGAAGCCCCGGCUAACUCCGUGCCAGCAGCCGCGGUAAUACGGAGGAUGCGAGCGUUAUCCGGAUUUAUUGGGUUUAAAGGGUGCGCAGGCGGAUUUUUAAGUCAGCGGUAAAGGCGGGGGGCUAACCCCGAGCCAGCCGUUGAAACUGGGGGUCUAGAGUGUGGGAGAGGUAGGCGGAAUGCGUGGUGUAGCGGUGAAAUGCAUAGAUAUCACGCAGAACCCCGAUUGCGAAGGCAGCAUGCCGGUGCACAACUGACGCUCAGGCCCGAAAGCGUGGGUAUCGAACAGGAUUAGAUACCCCAGUAAA
RNAcentral lists this ribosomal RNA (447 nucleotides) under uncultured bacterium. RNAcentral's name for it is "partial 16S ribosomal RNA". It matches the Rfam family "Bacterial small subunit ribosomal RNA", at positions 330 to 794 of the family's 1533-position model. The record is from RNAcentral.